This 585-nucleotide ribosomal RNA is filed under the name uncultured bacterium. Its description in RNAcentral is "partial 16S ribosomal RNA". It matches the Rfam family "Bacterial small subunit ribosomal RNA", at positions 355 to 1375 of the family's 1533-position model. The record is from RNAcentral.
UGGGGAAUUUUGGACAAUGGGCGAAAGCCUGAUCCAGCAAUGCCGCGUGUGUGAAGAAGGCCUUCGGGUUGUAAAGCACUUUUGUCCGGAAAGAAAUCCUUGGCUCUAAUACAGUCGGGGGAUGACGGUACCGGAAGAAUAAGCACCGGCUAACUACGUGCCAGCAGCCGCGGUAAUACGUAGGGUGCAAGCGUUAAUCGGAAUUACUGGGCGUAAAGCGUGCGCAGGCGGUUUGCUAAGACCGAUGUGAAAUCCCCGGGCUCAACCUGGGAACUACAUUGGUGACUGGCAGGCUAGAGUAUGGCAGAGGGGGGUAGAAUUCCACGUGUAGCAGUGAAAUGCGUAGAGAUGUGGAGGAAUACCGAUGGCGAAGGCAGCCCCCUGGGCCAAUACUGACGCUCAUGCACGAAAGCGUGGGGAGCAAACAGGAUUAGAUACCCUGGUAGUCCACGCCCUAAACGAUGUCAACUAGUUGUUGGGGAUUCAUUUCCUUAGUAACGUAGCUAACGCGUGAAGUUGACCGCCUGGGGAGUACGGUCGCAAGAUUAAAACUCAAAUGAAUUGACGGGGUCAUAGCUGUUUCCU